GGUUGCAGGGGACAGCCCAAGGCUAGGCCGAGGCAGCAGGUCCAAACCCCUCCUUGCCUGUGAUAAGUGGCUUAUAUUGCAGUCUGCCCCAGGAAACAGGGGCUAGUUGGUGACUGGCAGUAGCCUACGACUGAGGUGAGGUGGAGAUAGGGGUGGGUUCCCUGGGGAAGAGGAGACUGCAGGGGGCAGCAUCCCGGUCUGAAAGGGGCACUGGGGUCCAAGAAGGACUCGGGACCCAGGACACUAGCCUGCAGAGGGCGCUCCUGGGUUGAAGAGCUAAUUCCCAGGAUGACUGACAGGAGGCGCUGCAGGGGUUCAAUUAACCCCGAUCAUUCUCCCUUUUACAAGCUCAGUCCUCAAGAAAAAAAAUUAAAACUGCACCAGAGUCAGGAAAAGUCAGUGAUGUCCCGACUACCACUCCUAACGCCUCAUCUACACUAAUUAGGUGAAGAAUCCCACUGAUUUCAACAGGAUUAUUACAAGAAUACAGAUCCAUCAACCUCAAAAAAAGUGUUUGUCACUGAAGCAACCAACCUCCUCCAACACUGGUCACUUCUCUACUAAAAGUAAAUAGGUGGUUGCUACUUGGGCAGAAUGCCUGAAGUCAUCACAAGGCCAAGCGUGUCAUCUUUUACAUUGUGCUUUUCAUUUGCAUGCCUAGAAAGCAAGAGUCUCAAGGUUUACCAUUAGUUGAGUUGCCAGUAUUAUGAUGUUUUGUACUGCCCUCAAAAUGCAGACCCUGCAAAAAUAAAUGCAUUUAAAAAUCAUUACACAUAGUUGUCUGGUGGCACAGUGCAAAGCAUGAUAGCUGUAAUUAUGUUUUGGAAGUUACUUUGGGACUCUUAUGCCCUAGACCAGUAUUUCCAACCUUUCUUAUACUAGGGAUCAGUAUCAAAGACCUUGCAGCCUUCCUAAUCUGUGGCAGGGAGAUCUCAGGGACCGGUGCCAGUCCAUGGACCAGUGGUUGAGAAACCCUGCCCUAGACAAAAAAAACAGGCACAUCAUGUUACUGUUGCAUUUAUUCUCCUGGGUGUAGUGCCAAGCAUAUUACUGUAGGACAUCUUAUUAGCCUAUUAAUGAACAAACAUGUUCUGUUCUCUCAAAUUACAAGUGAGUGAAAUAGCAGUAGUAUUGGCCUGACAGAGUACGUGCAGGGAAAAAAAGGUCCUCCUCUAUAACAAAAAUAGAGAUAUAUGACAACACUG
Molecule: long non-coding RNA, 1205 nt
Organism: Mauremys reevesii (Reeves's turtle)
Lineage: Eukaryota; Metazoa; Chordata; Testudines; Geoemydidae
Exons: 5
Source: RefSeq, a predicted model, not a curated record